Molecule: ribosomal RNA, 229 nt
Filed under: uncultured bacterium
Lineage: Bacteria
Description: partial 16S ribosomal RNA
Rfam family: Bacterial small subunit ribosomal RNA
Source: RNAcentral
CGAACGUAGGUAACCUGCCCAUGUGUCCGGGAUAACUGCUGGAAACGGUAGCUAAAACCGGAUAGGUAUACAGAGCGCAUGCUCAGUAUAUUAAAGCGCCCAUCAAGGCGUGAACAUGGAUGGACCUGCGGCGCAUUAGCUAGUUGGUGAGGUAACGGCCCACCAAGGCGAUGAUGCGUAGCCGGCCUGAGAGGGUAAACGGCCACAUUGGGACUGAGACACGGCCCAA